AGAGUUUGAUCAUGGCUCAGAUUGAACGCUGGCAGCAUGCUUAAUACAUGCAAGUCGAACGGUAACAGGUCCUUCGGGAUGCUGACGAGUGGCGGACGGGUGAGUAAUGCAUAGGAAUCUGCCCAGUAGUAGGGGACAACCUGAGGAAACUCAGGCUAAUACCGUAUAAGUCCUACGGGAGAAAGGAGGCCUCUUCUUGAAGGCUCUCGCUAUUGGAUGAGCCUAUGUCGGAUUAGCUUGUUGGUGGGGUAACGGCCUACCAAGGCGACGAUCCGUAGCUGGUCUGAGAGGACGAUCAGCCACACUGGGACUGAGACACGGCCCAGACUCCUACGGGAGGCAGCAGUAGGGAAUAUUGGACAAUGGGCGAAAGCCUGAUCCAGCAAUGCCGCGUGUGUGAAGAAGGCCUGCGGGUUGUAAAGCACUUUCAGUUGGGAAGAAAAUCUUUAGGUUAAUAUCCUAAAGUCUUGACGUUACCAACAGAAGAAGCACCGGCUAACUCUGUGCCAGCAGCCGCGGUAAUACAGAGGGUGCGAGCGUUAAUCGGAAUUACUGGGCGUAAAGCGUGCGUAGGCGGUUAAGUCAGUCGGAUGUGAAAGCCCAAGGCUUAACCUUGGAACGGCAUUCGAUACUGCUUAGCUAGAGUACAGUAGAGGGAAGC
RNAcentral lists this ribosomal RNA (661 nucleotides) under uncultured bacterium. RNAcentral's name for it is "bacterial SSU rRNA". It matches the Rfam family "Bacterial small subunit ribosomal RNA", at positions 8 to 662 of the family's 1533-position model. The record is from RNAcentral.